Molecule: transfer RNA, 118 nt
Filed under: Histoplasma capsulatum var. duboisii H88
Lineage: Eukaryota; Fungi; Ascomycota; Eurotiomycetes; Onygenales; Ajellomycetaceae
Also listed under: 1 other name
Description: Histoplasma capsulatum H88 tRNA-Tyr
Source: RNAcentral
GUAAAAUUAAUAUAGUUUGUAAUAAUAAAUUAUUAUAAUAAUAAAUAAUUAAUUAGAUUAAAAAUAAAUUAUUAAUUAAAAAUAAUAAGUAUUAUACUUUAAAUUAGUAUAUUCUACU